GACGAACGCUGGCGGCGUGCCUAAUACAUGCAAGUUGAGCGAUGAAGAUUGGUGCUUGCACCAAUUUGAAGAGCAGCGAACGGGUGAGUAACGCGUGGGGAAUCUGCCUUUGAGCGGGGGACAACAUUUGGAAACGAAUGCUAAUACCGCAUAAUAACUUUAAACAUAAGUUUUAAGUUUGAAAGAUACAAUUGCAUCACUCAAAGAUGAUCCCGCGUUGUAUUAGCUAGUUGGUGAGGUAAAGGCUCACCAAGGCGAUGAUACAUAGCCGACCUGAGAGGGUGAUCGGCCACAUUGGGACUGAGACACGGCCCAAACUCCUACGGGAGGCAGCAGUAGGGAAUCUUCGGCAAUGGACGAAAGUCUGACCGAGCAACGCCGCGUGAGUGAAGAAGGUUUUCGGAUCGUAAAACUCUGUUGGUAGAGAAGAACGUUGGUGAGAGUGGAAAGCUCAUCAAGUGACGGUAACUACCCAGAAAGGGACGGCUAACUACGUG
RNAcentral lists this ribosomal RNA (497 nucleotides) under uncultured bacterium. RNAcentral's name for it is "partial 16S ribosomal RNA". It matches the Rfam family "Bacterial small subunit ribosomal RNA", at positions 28 to 507 of the family's 1533-position model. The record is from RNAcentral.